RNAcentral lists this ribosomal RNA (497 nucleotides) under uncultured bacterium. Its description in RNAcentral is "partial 16S ribosomal RNA". It matches the Rfam family "Bacterial small subunit ribosomal RNA", at positions 28 to 507 of the family's 1533-position model. The record is from RNAcentral.
GAUGAACGCUGGCGGCGUGCCUAAUACAUGCAAGUCGAGCGAACGGACGAGAAGCUUGCUUCUCUGAUGUUAGCGGCGGACGGGUGAGUAACACGUGGAUAACCUACCUAUAAGACUGGGAUAACUUCGAGAAACCGGAGCUAAUACCGGAUAAUAUUUUGAACCGCAUGGUUCAAAAGAGAAAGACGGUCUUGCUGUAACUUAUAGAUGGAUCCGCGCUGCAUUAGCUAGUUGGUAAGGUAACGGCUUACCAAGGCAACGAUGCAUAGCCGACCUGAGAGGGUGAUCGGCCACACUGGAACUGGGACACGGUCCAGACUCCUACGGGAGGCAGCAGUAGGGAAUCGUCCGCAAUGGGCGAAAGCCUGACGGAGCAACGCCGCGUGAGUGAUGAAGGUCUUCGGAUUGUAAAACUCUGUUAUUAGGGAAGAACAUAUGUGUAAGUAACUGUGCACAUCUUGACGGUACCUAAUCAGAAAGCCACGGCUAACUACGUG